AUUCUCUUACCACUUUUCUCUAUUUGAAGAUGGAGAAACCUUUUAUAGAGUUUCCCAUAAUACCAUUUGGCUCUCAUUUGAUACAAACACAUCAUUGACAUAUUAAUUCUGCCUUUGUUCUUUUCUCAUUAGCCCAUAACAAUUAAAAUAGACCAUUACUCUGCUGCACUAUGAGUUUUUAUGAUGUCAUAUUAAAGUCUCCAUUAAUUAAGUAACUUAAUAAAUUAAAGCUUUAUUCAAUGACAGUAUCUUUCAAUUGCACAUCAUCUCCACUAAAGAGCACAAUGGCAGACAUGGGACAAUUUUAGCAUUAGGACAUGCCAAUCUAACAGUCAGAUGUGCUUACUGACACAAUGAAAGUUAGAAGCUGUCACUUUUGGUGAUUGUUUGGUGGCAGUGACACUGAGAACAGAACAGUCAAUGGGGGGAAUAUAGACAAAUUCAGGCACUGCUAUUGGAAAGCACAACUCAAUUAUCAGGUUGUCAUUUAGAUUUUUUGAAUGUUAAUUUGAUAAAACCACACAUUAAAAAAAUGUUUGGAGCUAUGGGACUAUGUCUUUGAAUUUCAGUUUGAGAGAGACUGACCUGCAGGGUAAUAAUUAAAUUCCUUCAUUAAUAAUGUAAGAUCUUCAUUUAACGAGGUAAAUUGGAGUGGAAUGUAGUAAGAUGAAGGCAAAGAAAGAAAGGAUACUAAUGCUGUUGUCUGAGUAAGAGAUGCUGAGAGAGUAAGAUAGGAAAGAAGAUAAGUAGGAAAGGGGAAGACAAGGUGGAAGCUAGCUACAUCAUAUAGAAAUAAAAAAAAAUAAGGAGGGUGAGGGAAGUAAGGCAGUGUGAGAGCUAGAUGACAAACUGAUUCUUUUAUACUCAUGUUAUAGGUAAAGAAAUAGAGUAGCAGACUGACCACCUUAAUUUGGAAAUUUUUGUCUUACUUGUGUAAGGAUCAAUUACCUCAUAACUUUGAGAGAAUAUAGUUUGCUAAUGUGUCUAAGUGACUCAUGGAGAAUAGCUAAACUAGGACCCUAAGCUAGAUACAGUCAGGCCUUCCAUGCUGUGUAGCAUUCGGUGCAUGUGGAUAAUCUCAGACUUUUGGGAAAUUAUAGAUCAAUCUCAUGGUUGAAAUGCAAGCAAAUAUACCAGGAAUCACAACAAAUACAAGGAUGAUUCACUCUGUGUGUCAAUAGACAAAGAUUUUUAAGUUGUAUAAGGAAGAAAGAAACAGUAAUAGUCUCCUUACAAACUGUCUGUAAGGGACACCCCUAUUAAGAAUGGGAAUAUUGAAAGAAAGUAGAUGGAAAUCGACAUAAAAUACCAUGCAAGUACCUUUUAAAAGAAGUCUGGCAACACUAUAUUAAUAUCAGACAAAAUGUACUUUAAAAAUAUUGUUACACACAAAGAAAUUUAUUAUUUAAUGAUAAAAGAACAGUUCACUAGGAAGAUGUAUUAAUCCUGAACCUACAUUAACUGGUAUCAUCAUUUCAAAAGCAUAUAAAGUAAAAAUUGACAAUAUUACCAUGAGGUAAUGAGAACAUAGGUAAUCUUAACUGGAAAUUUUAAAUGUUUUUCUCUCAGACACUGAAAAAUCAAGUAAAUUUUUAAGAAUUAUAAAGGAUAAAGAAAGAUUUAAAUAACAUAGCUGAUUAUCUUGAUCAAAUAGACAUGCACAGAACUCUGAACUCUGCUACCAGAAAAUAUAAACACAUAGAAAACCUUACCACUGAUGAACAAAAAUUACAUUGUCUACAUUCUUAUUUCAGAGGAAAAAAAUCAGGAGGCCAAAACAGCUAGAAAUCAAAAACUCUAUCCAUUUGGAAAUUGAAGAUUAUACUUGUAAAUCUUGAGUUAAGGAUCCAGAAUUGUCACUGCUGUGGCUCAGGUUACUGCUGUGGCAUGGAUUUGAUCCCUGGUCCAGGAACUUCCAUAUGCUGUGGGCAUAGCCACCCCCUGAAAACAAACAAAUAAAGAAGGACUGAUUAUUAGUGAGUAAACCUGCAAACAAAAAAAUUGUAAAUAUAAUAG
RNAcentral lists this long non-coding RNA (2016 nucleotides) under Sus scrofa (pig). RNAcentral's name for it is "lncRNA (ENSSSCG00005039658.1)". Lineage: Eukaryota; Metazoa; Chordata; Mammalia; Artiodactyla; Suidae. The record is from RNAcentral.